CCUGUAGUCGCAGUUGGAGAUGGAGUGCGAAUCCCGUAGGAGUCCGGAUGAAGUCUUUCUACUGCUGAAAUCAAGGACGGAGUCCAGCUCCCGUAGGAGUCCGGACGAAGUCUUCCUGUAGUCGAAGUUGGAGAUGGAGUCUGACUCCCGUAGGAGUCCAGACGAAGUCUUCCUGCUGUUGAAGUCAGGGACGGAGUCUGGCUCCCGUAGGAGUCCGGACGAAGUCUUCCUGUAGUC
Molecule: long non-coding RNA, 237 nt
Filed under: Elaeis guineensis (African oil palm)
Lineage: Eukaryota; Viridiplantae; Streptophyta; Magnoliopsida; Arecales; Arecaceae
Description: long non-coding RNA (EGUI_LNC068802)
Source: RNAcentral